This 433-nucleotide ribosomal RNA is filed under the name uncultured bacterium. RNAcentral describes it as "partial 16S ribosomal RNA". It matches the Rfam family "Bacterial small subunit ribosomal RNA", at positions 29 to 507 of the family's 1533-position model. The record is from RNAcentral.
AACGAACGCUGGCGGCAUGCCUAACACAUGCAAGUCGAACGAUGCCUUCGGGCAUAGUGGCGCACGGGUGCGUAACGCGUGGGAAUCUGCCUUUCGGUUCGGAAUAACUCAGGGAAACUUGAGCUAAUACCGGAUAACGUCGCAAGACCAAAGAUUUAUCACCGAAAGAUGAGCCCGCGUAGGAUUAGCUAGUUGGUGAGGUAAAGGCUCACCAAGGCGACGAUCCUUAGCUGGUCUGAGAGGAUGAUCAGCCACACUGGGACUGAGACACGGCCCAGACUCGUAGGGGAGGAAGCAGUGGGGAAUAUUGGACGAUGGGCGAGAGCCUGAUGCAGCAGUGCCGCGUGAGUGAUGAAGGCGUUAGGGUUGUAAAGCUCUUUUACCCGGGAAGAUAGUGACGGUACCGGGAGAAUAAGCCCCGGCUAACUACGUG